UCCGGUUGAUCCUGCCAGAGGUUACUGCUAUCGAGGUUCGGCUAAGCCAUGCGAGUCGAAUGUAGCAAUACAUGGCGAACUGCUCAGUAACACGUGGACAACCUGCCCUUAGGUUGGGUAUAAACCCGGGAAACUGGGUAUAAUACCCGAUAGGUCUCGAUUGCUGGAAUGCAUCGAGAUUUAAAGCUCCGGCGCCUAAGGAUGGGUCUGCGGCCUAUCAGGUAGUAGUGGGUGUAGCGUACCUACUAGCCUACGACGGGUACGGGUUGUGAGAGCAAGAGCCCGGAGAUGGAUUCUGAGACACGAAUCCAGGCCCUACGGGGUGCAGCAGGCGCGAAAACUUUACAAUGCUGGCAACAGCGAUAAGGGAACCUCGAGUGCCAGGUUACAAAUCUGGCUGUCGAGAUGCCUAAAAAGCAUUUCAUAGCAAGGGCCGGGCAAGACCGGUGCCAGCCGCCGCGGUAACACCGGCGGCUCGAGUGGUAACCGUUAUUAUUGGGUCUAAAGGGUCUGUAGCCGGCCGGAUAAGUCUCUUGAGAAAUCUGGCAGCUUAACUGUCAGGCUUUCAGGAGAUACUGUCUGGCUCGAGGCCGGGAGAGGUGAGAGGUACUUCAGGGGUUAAGGGGUGAAAUCUUGUAAUCCUUGAAGGACCACCAGUGGCGAAGGCGUCUCACCAGAACGGACCUGACGGCAAGGGACGAAAGCUAGGGGCACGAACCGGAUUAGAUACCCGGGUAGUCCUAGCCGUAAACGAUACUCGCUAGGUGUCGGCCACGGUGCGACCGUUGUCGGUGCCGUAGGGAAGCCGUGAAGCGAGCCACCUGGGAAGUACGGCCGCAAGGCUGAAACUUAAAGGAAUUGGCGGGGGAGCACCACAACGGGUGGAGCUUGCGGUUUAAUUGGAUUCAACGCCGGAAAUCUUACCGGGACCGACAGCAAUAUGAAGGCCAGGCUGAAGACUUUGCCGGAUUAGCUGAGAGGUGGUGCAUGGCCGUCGUCAGUUCGUACUGUGAAGCAUCCUGUUAAGUCAGGUAACGAGCGAGACCCA
This 1048-nucleotide ribosomal RNA is filed under the name unidentified archaeon. RNAcentral describes it as "bacterial SSU rRNA". It matches the Rfam family "Archaeal small subunit ribosomal RNA", at positions 1 to 1054 of the family's 1478-position model. The record is from RNAcentral.